GGCUCGGUGGUGCACGGAUGCGCAUCUGCUGCACUUGUGCAAAAAAGCUUGAAAAUUCGAGCAGAAGGUCCCCGUUCGAUUCGGGGUCGAGCCA
Molecule: non-coding RNA, 94 nt
Organism: Mycena haematopus
Lineage: Eukaryota; Fungi; Basidiomycota; Agaricomycetes; Agaricales; Mycenaceae
Source: the annotation of a GenBank genome assembly